Molecule: transfer RNA, 91 nt
Filed under: Streptosporangium saharense
Lineage: Bacteria; Bacillati; Actinomycetota; Actinomycetes; Streptosporangiales; Streptosporangiaceae
Description: tRNA-Ala
Source: RNAcentral
GCCCUGGUCAACAAAGAACGUGGGCCGCCCCACCUCUGGCGAUUCCUGCUUCGCAAGCAGGAUGUCAGGAGUUCGAAUCUCCCGGGCUCCA